UGGGGAAUAUUGCACAAUGGGCGCAAGCCUGAUGCAGCCAUGCCGCGUGUGUGAAGAAGGCCUUCGGGUUGUAAAGCACUUUCAGCGGGGAGGAAGGCGAUAAGGUUAAUAACCUUGUCGAUUGACGUUACCCGCAGAAGAAGCACCGGCUAACUCCGUGCCAGCAGCCGCGGUAAUACGGAGGGUGCAAGCGUUAAUCGGAAUUACUGGGCGUAACGCGCACGCAGGCGGUCUGUCAAGUCGGAUGUGAAAUCCCCGGGCUUAACCUGGGAACUGCAUUCGAAACUGGCAGGCUAGAGUCUUGUAGAGGGGGGUAGAAUUCCAUGUGUAGCGGUGAAAUGCGUAGAGAUGUGGAGGAAUACCGGUGGCGAAGGCGGCCCCCUGGACAAAGACUGACGCUCAGGUGCGAAAGCGUGGGGAGCAAACAGG
Molecule: ribosomal RNA, 429 nt
Filed under: Chloroflexota bacterium
Lineage: Bacteria; Bacillati; Chloroflexota
Description: Chloroflexi bacterium partial 16S ribosomal RNA
Rfam family: Bacterial small subunit ribosomal RNA
Source: RNAcentral